RNAcentral lists this ribosomal RNA (3025 nucleotides) under Salmonella enterica. RNAcentral describes it as "bacterial LSU rRNA". It matches the Rfam family "Bacterial large subunit ribosomal RNA". Lineage: Bacteria; Pseudomonadati; Pseudomonadota; Gammaproteobacteria; Enterobacterales; Enterobacteriaceae. The record is from RNAcentral.
GGGUUGUGAGGUUAAGCGACUAAGCGUACACGGUGGAUGCCCUGGCAGUCAGAGGCGAUGAAGGGCGUGCUAAUCUGCGAUAAGCGCCGGUAAGGUGAUAUGAACCGUUAUAACCGGCGAUACCCGAAUGGGGAAACCCAGUGUGAUUCGUCACACUAUCAUUAACUGAAUCCAUAGGUUAAUGAGGCGAACCGGGGGAACUGAAACAUCUAAGUACCCCGAGGAAAAGAAAUCAACCGAGAUUCCCCCAGUAGCGGCGAGCGAACGGGGAGGAGCCCAGAGCCUGAAUCAGCAUGUGUGUUAGUGGAAGCGUCUGGAAAGGCGCGCGAUACAGGGUGACAGCCCCGUACACAAAAGCGCAUGUGCUGUGAGCUCGAUGAGUAGGGCGGGACACGUGGUAUCCUGUCUGAAUAUGGGGGGACCAUCCUCCAAGGCUAAAUACUCCUGACUGACCGAUAGUGAACCAGUACCGUGAGGGAAAGGCGAAAAGAACCCCGGCGAGGGGAGUGAAACAGAACCUGAAACCGUGUACGUACAAGCAGUGGGAGCCCCACCACUAAGCCAGUGGUGAACUCCACAUACGCAUCCUUUGCUGAGGAGACGGUUAACGGAGCGAAAGCGACGUUCAACCUCAAAACAAGCAGAGGGGGCUUAGUGGUGGGGUGACUGCGUACCUUUUGUAUAAUGGGUCAGCGACUUAUAUUCUGUAGCAAGGUUAACCGAAUAGGGGAGCCGGAGGGAAACCGAGUCUUAAUUGGGCGUUAAGUUGCAGGGUAUAGACCCGAAACCCGGUGAUCUAGCCAUGGGCAGGUUGAAGGUUGGGUAACACUAACUGGAGGACCGAACCGACUAAUGUUGAAAAAUUAGCGGAUGACCUGUGGCUGGGGGUGAAAGGCCAAUCAAACCGGGAGAUAGCUGGUUCUCCCCGAAAGCUAUUUAGGUAGCGCCUCGUGAAUUCAUCUCCGGGGGUAGAGCACUGUUUCGGCUAGGGGGCCAUCCCGGCUUACCAACCCGAUGCAAACUGCGAAUACCGGAGAAUGUUAUCACGGGAGACACACGGCGGGUGCUAACGUCCGUCGUGAAGAGGGAAACAACCCAGACCGCCAGCUAAGGUCCCAAAGUCAUGGUUAAGUGGGAAACGAUGUGGGAAGGCCCAGACAGCCAGGAUGUUGGCUUAGAAGCAGCCAUCAUUUAAAGAAAGCGUAAUAGCUCACUGGUCGAGUCGGCCUGCGCGGAAGAUGUAACGGGGCUAAACCAUGCACCGAAGCUGCGGCAGCGACACUGUGUGUUGUUGGGUAGGGGAGCGUUCUGUAAGCCUGCGAAGGUGGCCUGUGAGGGUUGCUGGAGGUAUCAGAAGUGCGAAUGCUGACAUAAGUAACGAUAAAGCGGGUGAAAAGCCCGCUCGCCGGAAGACCAAGGGUUCCUGUCCAACGUUAAUCGGGGCAGGGUGAGUCGACCCCUAAGGCGAGGCCGAAAGGCGUAGUCGAUGGGAAACGGGUUAAUAUUCCCGUACUUGGUGUUACUGCGAAGGGGGGACGGAGAAGGCUAUGUUGGCCGGGCGACGGUUGUCCCGGUUUAAGCGUGUAGGCUGGUUUUCCAGGCAAAUCCGGAAAAUCAAGGCUGAGGCGUGACGACGAGGCACUACGGUGCUGAAGCAACAAAUGCCCUGCUUCCAGGAAAAGCCUCUAAGCAUCAGGUAACAUCAAAUCGUACCCCAAACCGACACAGGUGGUCAGGUAGAGAAUACCAAGGCGCUUGAGAGAACUCGGGUGAAGGAACUAGGCAAAAUGGUGCCGUAACUUCGGGAGAAGGCACGCUGACAUGUAGGUGAAGUGAUUUACUCAUGGAGCUGAAGUCAGUCGAAGAUACCAGCUGGCUGCAACUGUUUAUUAAAAACACAGCACUGUGCAAACACGAAAGUGGACGUAUACGGUGUGACGCCUGCCCGGUGCCGGAAGGUUAAUUGAUGGGGUCAGCGCAAGCGAAGCUCCUGAUCGAAGCCCCGGUAAACGGCGGCCGUAACUAUAACGGUCCUAAGGUAGCGAAAUUCCUUGUCGGGUAAGUUCCGACCUGCACGAAUGGCGUAAUGAUGGCCAGGCUGUCUCCACCCGAGACUCAGUGAAAUUGAACUCGCUGUGAAGAUGCAGUGUACCCGCGGCAAGACGGAAAGACCCCGUGAACCUUUACUAUAGCUUGACACUGAACAUUGAGCCUUGAUGUGUAGGAUAGGUGGGAGGCUUUGAAGCGUGGACGCCAGUCUGCAUGGAGCCGACCUUGAAAUACCACCCUUUAAUGUUUGAUGUUCUAACGUGGACCCGUGAUCCGGGUUGCGGACAGUGUCUGGUGGGUAGUUUGACUGGGGCGGUCUCCUCCUAAAGAGUAACGGAGGAGCACGAAGGUUGGCUAAUCCUGGUCGGACAUCAGGAGGUUAGUGCAAUGGCAUAAGCCAGCUUGACUGCGAGCGUGACGGCGCGAGCAGGUGCGAAAGCAGGUCAUAGUGAUCCGGUGGUUCUGAAUGGAAGGGCCAUCGCUCAACGGAUAAAAGGUACUCCGGGGAUAACAGGCUGAUACCGCCCAAGAGUUCAUAUCGACGGCGGUGUUUGGCACCUCGAUGUCGGCUCAUCACAUCCUGGGGCUGAAGUAGGUCCCAAGGGUAUGGCUGUUCGCCAUUUAAAGUGGUACGCGAGCUGGGUUUAGAACGUCGUGAGACAGUUCGGUCCCUAUCUGCCGUGGGCGCUGGAGAACUGAGGGGGGCUGCUCCUAGUACGAGAGGACCGGAGUGGACGCAUCACUGGUGUUCGGGUUGUCAUGCCAAUGGCACUGCCCGGUAGCUAAAUGCGGAAGAGAUAAGUGCUGAAAGCAUCUAAGCACGAAACUUGCCCCGAGAUGAGUUCUCCCUGAGACUUAAAGUCUCCUGAAGGAACGUUGAAGACGACGACGUUGAUAGGCCGGGUGUGUAAGCGCAGCGAUGCGUUGAGCUAACCGGUACUAAUGAACCGUGAGGCUUAACCUUACAACGCCGAAG